CCUACGGGAGGCAGCAGUGGGGAAUAUUGCACAAUGGGCGGAAGCCUGAUGCAGCAACGCCGCGUGCGGGAUGACGGCCUUCGGGUUGUAAACCGCUUUCGCCUGUGACGAAGCGUGAGUGACGGUAAUGGGUAAAGAAGCACCGGCUAACUACGUGCCAGCAGCCGCGGUGAUACGUAGGGUGCGAGCGUUGUCCGGAUUUAUUGGGCGUAAAGGGCUCGUAGGUGGUUGAUCGCGUCGGAAGUGUAAUCUUGGGGCUUAACCCUGAGCGUGCUUUCGAUACGGGUUGACUUGAGGAAGGUAGGGGAGAAUGGAAUUCCUGGUGGAGCGGUGGAAUGCGCAGAUAUCAGGAGGAACACCAGUGGCGAAGGCGGUUCUCUGGGCCUUUCCUGACGCUGAGGAGCGAAAGCGUGGGGAGCGAACAGGCUUAGAUACCCUGGUAGUCCACGCUGUAAACGGUGGGUACUAGGUGUGGGGUCCAUUCCACGGGUUCCGUGCCGUAGCUAACGCUUAAGUACCCGCCUGGGAGUACGGCCGCAAGGCGUAAAACUCAAACGGAAUUGACGG
This 567-nucleotide ribosomal RNA is filed under the name uncultured bacterium. RNAcentral describes it as "bacterial SSU rRNA". It matches the Rfam family "Bacterial small subunit ribosomal RNA", at positions 338 to 916 of the family's 1533-position model. The record is from RNAcentral.